AUUGAACGCUGGCGGCAGGCCUAACACAUGCAAGUCGAGCGGAUGAAGGGAGCUUGCUCCUGGAUUCAGCGGCGGACGGGUGAGUAAUGCCUAGGAAUCUGCCUGGUAGUGGGGGAUAACGUCCGGAAACGGGCGCUAAUACCGCAUACGUCCUGAGGGAGAAAGUGGGGGAUCUUCGGACCUCACGCUAUCAGAUGAGCCUAGGUCGGAUUAGCUAGUUGGUGGGGUAAAGGCCUACUAAGGCGACGAUCCGUAACUGGUCUGAGAGGAUGAUCAGUCACACUGGAACUGAGACACGGUCCAGACUCCUACGGGAGGCAGCAGUGGGGAAUAUUGGACAAUGGGCGAAAGCCUGAUCCAGCCAUGCCGCGUGUGUGAAGAAGGUCUUCGGAUUGUAAAGCACUUUAAGUUGGGAAGAAGGGCAGUAAGUUAAUACCUUGCUGUUUUGACGUUACCAACAGAAUAAGCACCGGCUAACUUCGUG
This 484-nucleotide ribosomal RNA is filed under the name uncultured bacterium. RNAcentral describes it as "partial 16S ribosomal RNA". It matches the Rfam family "Bacterial small subunit ribosomal RNA", at positions 30 to 507 of the family's 1533-position model. The record is from RNAcentral.